CCUACGGGUGGCAGCAGUGAGGAAUAUUGGUCAAUGGACGGGAGUCUGAACCAGCCAUGUCGCGUGCAGGAAGACGGCCCUAUGAGUUGUAAACUUCUUUUGUACGAGGGUAAACCUGAAUACGUGUACCCUGCUGUAAGUACCGUACGAAUAAGGCUCGGCUAACUCCGUGCCAGCAGCCGCGGUAAUACGGAGGAUCCAAGCGUUAUCCGGAUUUAUUGGGUUUAAAGGGUGCGUAGGCGGAUUGUUAAGUUAGAGGUGAAAGUUUCGGGCUUAACACGGGAACUGCCGUUGAUACUGUUGGGCUAGAGGGUAGAUGCGGUAGGCGGAAUGCGUGGUGUAGGGGUGAAAUGCUUAGAUAUCAUACAGAACACCGAUUGCGAAGGCAGCUUAACAGUCUAUAUCUGACGUGGAGGCACGAAAGCGUGGGGAGCAAACAGGAGUAGAUACCCCAGUAGGC
Molecule: ribosomal RNA, 460 nt
Filed under: uncultured bacterium
Lineage: Bacteria
Description: partial 16S ribosomal RNA
Rfam family: Bacterial small subunit ribosomal RNA
Source: RNAcentral